Molecule: long non-coding RNA, 165 nt
Filed under: Carlito syrichta (Philippine tarsier)
Lineage: Eukaryota; Metazoa; Chordata; Mammalia; Primates; Tarsiidae
Description: Smith-Magenis syndrome chromosome region, candidate 2 conserved region 2 (ENSTSYG00000026429.1)
Rfam family: Smith-Magenis syndrome chromosome region, candidate 2 conserved region 2
Source: RNAcentral
GGGCCGCAGUGAGCCCUCCCCAUUCUACUGAGCUAGUCCGGAUAAGCCUGGUCCCCACAGUGCAGCAUGCAGCAUUCUGUCCUGAGACAGAUGUCCUCCCCUUUCCCUGUCUUCAGCCCGCAGGGGCCUCUCUCCUCAAGGCAGGAAACAUGAACUCCUUUUGAC